RNAcentral lists this non-coding RNA (25 nucleotides) under Mus musculus (house mouse). Lineage: Eukaryota; Metazoa; Chordata; Mammalia; Rodentia; Muridae. The record is from RNAcentral.
UUGUAGGGAAGGCCAGUAGAGUGAC